Molecule: long non-coding RNA, 6347 nt
Filed under: Populus trichocarpa (black cottonwood)
Lineage: Eukaryota; Viridiplantae; Streptophyta; Magnoliopsida; Malpighiales; Salicaceae
Description: long non-coding RNA (PTRI_LNC002158)
Source: RNAcentral
UACUCUCAAAUUCUCAAUGUCAAGUUGCCUUCAUUCUGACCCCGCUUCACCGGCUCUCUCUGCGUUCAAAUACACGUAAAAAAAUGGCGACGAAUUCACGUGGUCAUGGCGGCUGAUCACUACUUGAAAAAUACAAGUGUCUAAACCUCCUCUUAUCUUCACUCGUAUUAUGGUUCAUAUAUAUAUGCGCAUUCCUCUGCUAACUAAUAGUGCACAAAUUCAGCAAAAACACUUCGAUUCUACUCCUUUAAUUAUUGCAGAUCAGACAGGGCACCAGUUUAGACAGGAAACUCCAUGGAAGCUAACAUUUCAACUCGUAUUUAAUUAUUGCAGAUCAGACAGGGCACCAGUUUAGACCUCGUUUUGAGUUACCGGUGAAAAGUUCACGCGUGCUACUAUCUCAAGUGUUUAAUAUCAUCCUCUAGGACCUCUACUCUCAAAUUCUCAAUGUCAAGUUGCCUUCAUUCUGACCCCGCUUGACCGGCUCUCUCUGCGUUCAAAUACACGUAAAAAAAUGGCGACGAAUUCACGUGGUCAUGGCGGCUGAUCACUACUUGAAAAAUACAACUGUCUAAACCUCCCCUUAUCUUCACUCGUAUUAUGGUUCAUAUAUAUAUGCGAAUUCCUCUGCUAACUGAUAGUGCACAAAUUCAGCAAAAACACUUCGAUUCUACUCCUUUCAUCACUUUCUUAGCUAGUCGACGACAUUGUUGCUGCUUCAAUACAUUCUUUCCACGGUCUACGUACUAUUUGUCAUCAGCAUGUAUCCAUCAAAGCAAGACACCGCUCAUGAGAUGAACCAAAAGCCAUCACCUCCCUUGCCACCAGUACCGGUGACCGGCCAUCCAGUAGGACACUUCACAAACCAGCAUCACAAUGAGAUUCAUUCUCACCCCAUUCAGCAUCAACAGCAGCAGCCCGGUCGUUGGUCCUCCGGUCUUUGUGACUGCUUCUCUGACAUCCCUAAUUGUAAGUUCUUUCAGAUGAUUUGGAUUUCAAUUAUCAGUAACAUUCAUUUUGUAGCAAAUGCUGGAUUUCUAUUUACAUUAGAAUCAAAUCUUUUUUUUCUUUGAGUAGAAGCUAAUAUAUCUUUUAACUUGUUUUUAUAAAAAUCAACGAAUGUUAAACAUAAUUGAAGUGAAAGAUGCAAUUACACUAAAUUUAUUUAUGAUUUCUUAUGAUUGAGAAAAACAAUUUAUAAAAAUAAUAGCAAACGAAACCUUACUAAUUAGGUGCUUAACAUUUUCUGCUAUAUAUCAAUUGGUUGCAGGUUGCAUCACAUGUUGGUGCCCGUGCAUCACUUUUGGACGGAUCGCUGAGAUUGUAGACAAAGGAACAACAUGUGAGUACAAUACUAGUUCGUUUGUUUGUCCUGGAGAUGACCAUUUAUUAUGCGCAAAUUUUUUAGCGCAAACCACAUUUAUGAUGGUGUUGGAAAGAUAUUUAUUAGAUGUGCGGUUGUGAUUUGAUUUUUGUUGCAGCCUGUGCUGUAAGCGGAGCAAUUUAUGGCGUACUUUUAUGGUUCACUGGGUGUCCUUGCAUAUACUCGUGUCUAUAUCGAAAUAAAAUGAGGAAGCAGCUGAUGUUCGAGGACAGACCUUGUAAUGAUUGCUUGGUUCAUUUCUGCUGUGAUGCUUGUGCCCUGUGUCAGGAGUACAGAGAGCUCAAACAUCGUGGAUUUGAUAUGACAAUGGGUAAGCUCCUCGGGUGCUCAUUCCCUUGCCUCUUCAAUGAUUAAUUGCAUAAGUGAUGCUAUAUCCCUUCUGGGCUGUGCUCUGUGGAUCUAUAUCAGUUGGUUUUUUCUUUCGUAGGUUGGCAAGAGAAUGUGGAGAGACAAAAUGGUGGAGUGACCAUGAUCGCAUCAGCACCGACCGUUGAACAAGGCAUGAAACGCUGAAUGAGCCAUGCAUGCUCUGAAUGUUUGUGUGUUAUAUGUACGGUAGAAGAGAAAGAAGAAGAAUUCAAAAAGAAGAAGAAUAAAAGAUGUGAUCAAGAUUGUGCCGUUGGCAUCCUUGUAUGUUUUGUGCUGCUAUAUUUCUCUUUUCUUGUAUUUGUUUAUUUUUAUUGAUUGAGAUCACAAAAGCAAUGUUCCUCAAUCUUGUACGAUAAUAGUCUGCUUCAAUCGAAUGUAAGAUAUCUAUCAUUUUUUAAUCAUUUGUUUAAUUCUUGAUCGAUCAUUGAUUAAAUUUGAACAAAAAUCCAUCCAAUCAAUAGUUGACAUGCGUCCACCAGGAGGAUGGAAACCUUGCCAUUACGAACUGUGGCGCUAGUGAUGGUGUUCCUGUUGGGCGGCAUAUUUGUUUGUUCUUCUAUCUGUUAUCGAAACUGAAGAAUCCGUCCUCGACAUCUUCUCUCCCCGCAUCUCCUUCUCGUCCUCCCUGUUGGAAGAUAUACAUGGCCGCCAACGCGUUGAGCCUAGCUGUCUAGCAUUUUAAUAUUCUGGAUAGCUUGCUUUCUUUUGACACCUAAGGUGCCUUAAAAUGAUAUUAACUAGAAAAUUAAAACAAGUCGGCUAAAUAUUGUUGAACAAACAUUAUCCACUCACCCGUAUAGUGGAUAUACAGUGUAUAUUUCAAUAAUUCAUUUUAGCACUUGAUGUUUUAUUUUAGGCGAUUUAAUCUUAAUUAAAGAUUGCUUCUGAUAUUUUAGGCAAGGGUGGAAUUGAAAGGAGAUGGACCAAAAUUAAAAGGACGUCAAAUAUGGGAGACGUGCCAAAUUAUUUUUUGUAAAUACACUUAAAUCCUCAAACUUAAAAAAUAACACAAAUUAUACAAUUUAGGUCCCUUUAGAUUCCACAAAAAUCAAUUUUGGUACAAAAUUUUAUUUAUAGUAUUUUUUAGUUCCUGAUUAGAAAAAAGAGAGACAGAAAGAGGUCGCUAUAUUCAGCGAUGAAAGAGAAUGUCGUCGUUCAAGCCAUUUCCGACCACCAAAAUAGAUGUUUUUUUGUCCAUGUGUUCCAUAAGAUAUGUAGGGCUUGAUUGUGUUGUUUACAACCUCAAUGUUGCAUGAAAAAAGAAAUCUAAACUAAGGACGAUAAAUCUAACCCAGUUUGAUUUCAUGUUUUUUUUUUAACUUUUUUUUUGGUAUUUUUAGUUGAUAAAUCGGUUUAUGGGUGCUCCAAAGAUGUUAAUGAGGUGUUUUUUUGAUUGAAAUAACUUAUAAAAUAGGUUUUUAAACAAAAAAAAAAAAACACUCUUUAAUUUUCUAGCAGCUAGUAAAUGGCCAGAAUAUGAGUUCACGGACAAUUUUUGUUUUCAUCGUUCACUCUUUUAAAAAAUAUCUAAAAAAUAAAAUCAAUCUCAGUGUGUGGACUUGAGGUUAAAGACCCACUCGUACGCGCUAGGCUUUUCCUUGUAAUAGUAGAGGCGGAGUAUUAGGUUCACCCUAUUAGAGUUGAAGCUGUUAGAUUCAAUUCAAAUAUGGAUGUUGAACGGGCCGAGACUAAAUCUCUUAAAGAUCUGGCCUCCAUUUAGGACAGUGUAAAGUACCCAGAUUUUUCUUUUGACAGGGGUUACAGAUUAAAAUACUUGAUUGGAAGCUAGCAAUUUUAAAAUCAGAUUGAUAUAUAUAAACUAGGCUCAAAUUCAGUUAAUUUUAGUCGAUCUUGUUUUAUCCCUUCUUAUUAAUGGAUUCAUAUUUAAGUUUUUGGUGUUUUAUUCAUAUUUAAGAUGGAUAAUAGUGGUGAAGGCAUUUCAAAUAUUAAAUCAAUUAUAAUAGUAAACAGAUAAUAUUUAUUAUUAUUUUUAGUUAUAAAAUAUUAUAAACUAUAAAGGUAAUGAAUGUAAAGUAAAGAACAGCUUCGUCAGUCACCAUGUUCGAACAUUAAGAGAGUCAAGGUCAUUUUUCAUUUCAAUUUUCAAGCAAAUUACUAAUGUCCUUAUAUAUUACUUUAGUAACUGGUAGCUACACUUCUUGUGUGGGAUAAUCUUAUUAUAUUUAAUAUGAUUUUAAAUAUAAACUUUAAUAAAUAAGAAUAUUUAAUAACUACCUAUAUAAUAGGCGGAUGCACCUCCAUAGAGCUCUGGUUUCUACCAAACUAGACGAGUGAUAUUUUUUGGAAAUUAAUUGAACAAGCCUCGAUCUAAUUAAUAUAAAAAAUUAACAAUAUGAUAUUUUUAUUCCAAUUUUUAAUCAAGCAUGAAUAGAAAAAUAAUGUUAUUUUCAAAUAGUCUUAAACCUUCAAACUUGAAAAUGCAUUAUUAUCUAUAACGCACAACAAAUAUAACACAAACAAAGAAUCAUUAAUUGCUAUUCUUACAGAAACAAGAAAUAGAAAGUGAUUUAUAGUAUUGUCUUUGCAAAUAAAGAAGAAGAAGAAUAUCCUACAUUUUCGAAUCAAGAAAAGAAAGUAAUAACUUUCUAUCACUGGGUUCCCAGAAAAAUAUGUUCUCUCCGUCAAUAACUAGGUGAAGCCUUACGUCAACCAUAGAUGCCUGGUGUGCAAGUAGGGGCCAUGCGUGUUAAUUUUGGAGGCAAUUUUGACCACACCCUCGGUUUUCUGGGAAACAGUGUUCUGAUGAAGAUUUAUAAUUUUAUUCACUGCUGUAACAGAUUAUCAUAAUAUAUAGUUUCAUAAACUAUAGAAAAAAUAUUCUUUCAAAACCAUUUAAUUGUGGAACGUCUACAACUUUGAACACUUCUAUAUAUUUUGGUUUUUUUAUGAUGGUUCGCGGUAUAAUUUCUUAAAAAUCUUAUGAGAAAUCUGGAAAAACGGAUCAGAUAAUAGUUUUUAGGGUUAAUUACAUAAAAACUCAUGAAUUAUAGUUUAUUAUCAAAGUUGUCCUUCAGUGACAUGUGGUAACUCUUUUCAUGUCUAAUCAAUUAUUUAGAAGGUGACGUGUUAUUUUAUUAAGUUUAUCUUCUUACAACGUCACCGGCAUUGCAAACACAUUAGUUUAUUGUUUAUGAAACUCGAAGGACACUAGCCAGGAAACUCCAUGGAAGCUGACAUUUCAACUCGUGUUUAAUUAUUGCAGAUCAGACAGGGCACCAGUUUAGACCUCGUUUUGAGUUACCGGUGAAAAGUUCACGCGUGUUACUAUCUCAAGUGUUUAAUAUCAUCCUCUAGGACCUCUACUCUCAAAUUCUCAAUGUCAAGUUGCCUUCAUUCUGACCCCGCUUGACCGGCUCUCUCUGCGUUCAAAUACACGUAAAAAAAUGGCGACGAAUUCACGUGGUCAUGGCGGCUGAUCACUACUUGAAAAAUACAACUGUCUAAACCUCCUCUUAUCUUCACUCGUAUGAUGGUUCAUAUAUAUAUGCGCAUUCCUCUGCUAACUAAUAGUGCACAAAUUCAGCAAAAACACUUCGAUUCUACUCCUUUAAUUAUUGCAGAUCAGACAGGGCACCAGUUUAGACAGGAAACUCCAUGGAAGCUAACAUUUCAACUCGUAUUUAAUUAUUGCAGAUCAGACAGGGCACCAGUUUAGACCUCGUUUUGAGUUACCGGUGAAAAGUUAACGCGUGCUACUAUCUCAAGUGUUUAAUAUCAUCCCCUAGGACCUCUACUAUCAAAUUCUCAAUGUCAAGUUGCCUUCAUUCUGACCCCGCUUCACCGGCUCUCUCUGCGUUCAAAUACACGUAAAAAAAUGGCGACGAAUUCACGUGGUCAUGGCGGCUGAUCACUACUUGAAAAAUACAAGUGUCUAAACCUCCUCUUAUCUUCACUCGUAUUAUGGUUCAUAUAUAUAUGCGCAUUCCUCUGCUAACUGAUAGUGCACAAAUUCAGCAAAAACACUUCGAUUCUACUCCUUUCAUCACUUUCUUAGCUAGUCGACGACAUUGUUGCUGCUUCAAUACAUUCUUUCCACGGUCUACGUACUAUCUGUCAUCAGCAUGUAUCCAUCAAAGCAAGACACCGCUCAUGAGAUGAACCAAAAGCCAUCACCUCCCUUGCCACCAGUACCGGUGACCGGCCAUCCAGUAGGACACUUCACAAACCAGCAUCACAAUGAGAUUCAUUCUCACCCCAUUCAGCAUCAACAGCAGCAGCCCGGUCGUUGGUCCUCCGGUCUUUGUGACUGCUUCUCUGACAUCCCUAAUUGUAAGUUCUUUCAGAUGAUUUGGAUUUCAAUUAUCAGUAACAUUCAUUUUGUAGCAAAUGCUGGAUUUCUAUUUACAUUAGAAUCAAAUCUUUUUUUUCUUUGAGUAGAAGCGAAUAUAUCUUUUAACCUGUUUUUAUAAAAAUCAACGAAUGUUAAACAUAAUUGAAGUGAAAGAUGCAAUUACACUAAAUUUAUUUAUGAUUGAAAAAAACAAUUUCUAAAAAUCAUGGCAACCGAAACCUUACUAAUUAGCUGCUUAACAUUUGCUGCUAUCAAUUGGUUGCAGGUUGCAUCACAUGUUGG